AUGGCCUGGGCCCCUCUCCUCCUCACCCUCCUGGCUCACUGCACAGGAUCCUGGGCCCAGUCUGUGCUGACUCAGCCAUCCUCAGUGUCGGGGUCCCCGGGCGAGAGGGUCACCAUCUCCUGCACUGGAAGCAGCUCCAACAUUGGGCGUGGUGACUAUGUGUCCUGGUACCAGCAGCUCCCAGGAAAGGCCCCCAAACUCCUCAUCUAUGAGAGUAGCAAACGACCCACAGGGAUUCCGGACCGAUUCUCUGGCUCCAGGUCUGGCAGCUCAGCCUCCCUGACCAUCACGGGGCUGCAGGCUGAGUACGAGGCCGACUAUUAUUGCGAGUCCUAUGACAGCAGUAUCUAUAGUUCCACAGUGCUGCAGGCCUGUGGGGAAAGGGUCACCAUCUCCUGCACUGGAAGCAGCUCCAACAUUGGGGAUAACUAUGUGAACUGGUACCAGCAGCUCCCAGGAAAGGCCCCCAAACUCAUUAUAUAUCUUGAUAGCAUUACAGAAUCAGGGGUCCCAGAUCGAUUCUCUGGCUCCAAGUCUGGAAACUCAGGCACCCUGACCAUCACGGGGCUGCAGGCUGAGGACGAGGCCGACUAUUACUGCUCAGCAUGGGACGACAGUCUCAAUGCUCCCACAGUGCUCCAGGCCUGUGGGGAAAUAAAUGCCAACGUCUGA
Non-coding RNA from Myotis lucifugus (little brown bat), 672 nucleotides. The record is from the annotation of a RefSeq genome assembly. Lineage: Eukaryota; Metazoa; Chordata; Mammalia; Chiroptera; Vespertilionidae.